Molecule: long non-coding RNA, 2611 nt
Organism: Suricata suricatta (meerkat)
Lineage: Eukaryota; Metazoa; Chordata; Mammalia; Carnivora; Herpestidae
Exons: 2
Source: RefSeq, a predicted model, not a curated record
AAAGGGGUCACGGCAAAGGAUUAGUAUCAAUUAGAGGUGCGACCCGGCGGUCUUUCCGCACGGCGUGUAGGGAAGGUGCUUGAGAGGCCGCGGCUUUGCGGACCCUGUGCUCAAGGAGUAGAGGCGGGUGGCAGAAAGCAGGGUAAUGCACAUGUUCCUCGAGCCCCGGACUGGGGGUCGCAGACCCAGAUUCUGCGCGCCGUUGCUUGCUGUGGAAGGAGCGAAUAACUUGGUGUCUCACAGCCUCCCAACACAGUGCUUGCUGCUAAGUCAGCCUGGACUUCGCGGCCUCGCCGGGCCCCUACCUCUGGGGGAGGACUGAGACCCAGGAGAUGGAAGUGUUCCCCCGCUCCCCCCGCUGACCGCGGAAGCACGGCCACCAGGGGCCGCUACAGGACAAGGGGCAGAGACUCUCCCCAGCGCACAGACUGAAGUCUGGACUCAGACUUGUUCUGAGAGGAGGGCACAGGAAACUUUAUUUUGGUGAUGAAAUCGCCAGUCCUCGCACAGUUAAUUUUCAUUCGUGCAAACUUCACUGCCCACACCCCACACGGACUCGCUUGCCCAGGCUUCUAGGGCCCGCGGUCAUCUGGGAGAAGGCUCUCGGCGCCCUUGCUGCGGUGCUUCUUGGAGCCAGAUAUGCUAUGCUGCCGUCCCUGCGAUGCUGGGUCAAAAGCGUAGCCAGCCCAGCGACCCGUCUUUCAUUCUUCUAUUGUAUUGUUGGGUGAAGCCGAAGAAGGUACCGACACUGUCAGGAGGUGGAGGAAGGGGAUCUACAGGGAGAAGUCGAGGCCCGGGAUGGCCUCGAAGAGGAGGAGUAGAGGAAUGUGGAGCGAAUGGUCCAUCCAGGUGGGAGCUGGCUGGACGAGUGGCCGCGCAUGUGCGCCUGCAUGGAGGCUAGGCUGGAGCAGCCGGCCCCGCACAGAGGGCAGCGGUAGGGUGCGACCCCAUGCGUCCGCAGGUGUUUGGUCAUGGCUGAGAAGUCCCGGGAGCGCUGGGGACAUAGGCUACAGGAGAAGGGCUUCUCUCCUAGGAGACAUCACAUGGAAAUAAUAUUUCAUGGAGGUCAAACAACCUAUCUGAGAUUCAGAAACUCCCUCCUCAAGAACCUCCAGAAGACCAUGGGCCUAACCUCCUGGCCAGGUUGUCUAACCUGGAUCUGAUACUGGAAAACCUGCCAACAGCACCUCAACCUGGAAUCCAGCAACCCCCUCCCCCCCAAAGUCUUGCAGCCACAUAUUCUCAGCACAGCCUGGAUGCAAUAGCCCUUGACAACUUCCCAUCGGGUUUCAACCCUGGCAGCACUCACUCUCAGCCCAGGCUGGAUCCAAAGACUCCAGAAAACCUCUCAAGUGCACAUUAGUUUCAUCUUUUGGCCAGUAACUCCCAACAACCUCUGGAGAGUCACAGGUCUCUCCUUCCAAUUCACCGGAUCCAGACUCAGUCCAGAGACCUCAGACAACCUCUCACAGUUCAGAGGCCAUACCUCAUGGCCAGUGACACCACACAGAGCUUCAAGGGCCUUCAAUUGCCACACAAUACACGUCCAAAUCAAGUUAGCCUCAGGGACAUGGACCAACUCAUAGGGCAUGUUGGCCUAGCCUCUGCCCAACCUGGGACCAAAGGUGCCCAGGAGGUCCCGUUUCCAGCCUUGCCGGGGCAAAGGGAACCUUGAGGGACUAAAGUCCUCAGCUCUCAAUUCUCGACAUUUACAGUGACCAUUCAAGCUCCCCCACCCCAGCUUUGCCUGAGUCAGCUCAGGCCUGCAGAAGUGUAAGAAAAACCAUGGCACUCACCGACUCAGACCCUGCUCCUCUUCCCACGGCCUCACAUACGCUGAGGGCUGUGCAAGAUCGAGUGUCGGUUAGAAAGUGGGGAGCGGCGCGAGGUCAGGAGCUCGAAGCCAGGGCGCAUGCACAGCUCGCUUAUCUCCCUGGAUUUUGAGGCGGACCCUGAUUGGCUGCAGCAUGGGCCGCAUCUACUGAGCACGCUCAACACCCUCGGAGGCACCUAGGACAGCUCCACUUGCUCCCCUCCCAGCCUCGCACCCACCACUGAUUGGCUGUGGAAUUUCUCUUCCCUCCCACCCUCUCUGUGAAAAGACUGGGCCCUGAAACUCUUUCGCCAAUGGCUUUGGAAUCGCCCUCUGCAAGGGCUCAGGAUACCACCAAUUCUUUGCUCCUGUCUUGCCAACCUGAGUGGCUCUCAUUGCAAACCCUUGCACCUCUCCCUCAACCCCUGACAGUCUAUGAAAUGUAUGUCUGUGAUUGGUUGGGAGGCCCUCAAGAGCCAGCCCGGCUUCAGGUGCCUGUAGGCAGCUCCCUUAUCCCACUUUUCGCCCAGAUUCACUCCUGAUUGGCUGCAGAACGCAAUGCCUCACCUGGAAGUGUGCGGGGACAGAGGAGGAACCUGAGGGGCAGUGCUUUGACCCGUGAUUGGUCUAGAUGCUCGCACUUUAAAUGCUCAUUGCCGGUCAGCUGAGCCAGGGUUAACUGCGCACUUCACGUACGAGCCCCCCUGCCCCCCUGCCAACACACCAGACAGAAUGGUCCAUUGCUUUGCCCCGCCAUUAAACUGGUCAGGGCUAAGAGCCCAGCCAGAUAGCUUUCUA